UACAGAGGUCUCAAGCGUUGUUCGGAUUCAUUGGGCGUAAAGGGUGCGUAGGCGGCUCGGUAAGUCGGGUGUGAAAUCUUGGAGCUUAACUCCGAAACUGCAUUCGAUACUGCCGUGCUUGAGGACUGGAGAGGAGACUGGAAUUUACGGUGUAGCGGUGAAAUGCGUAGAUAUCGUAAGGAAGACCAGUGGCGAAGGCGGGUCUCUGGACAGUUCCUGACGCUGAGGCACGAAGGCCAGGGGAGCAAACAGG
Molecule: ribosomal RNA, 253 nt
Filed under: uncultured bacterium
Lineage: Bacteria
Description: partial 16S ribosomal RNA
Rfam family: Bacterial small subunit ribosomal RNA
Source: RNAcentral